GGGUCCUUAGCUCAGUUGGUAGAGCGCCUGCUUUGCAAGCAGGAUGUCGGGAGUUCGAUUCUCCCAGGAUCCA
Molecule: transfer RNA, 73 nt
Filed under: Leucobacter ruminantium
Lineage: Bacteria; Bacillati; Actinomycetota; Actinomycetes; Micrococcales; Microbacteriaceae
Also listed under: 11 other names
Rfam family: tRNA
About the family: Transfer RNA (tRNA) molecules are approximately 80 nucleotides in length. Their secondary structure includes four short double-helical elements and three loops (D, anti-codon, and T loops).
Source: Rfam by way of RNAcentral